This 43973-nucleotide long non-coding RNA is filed under the name Malus domestica (apple). Its description in RNAcentral is "long non-coding RNA (MDOM_LNC011559)". The record is from RNAcentral. Lineage: Eukaryota; Viridiplantae; Streptophyta; Magnoliopsida; Rosales; Rosaceae.
UUUUUUUUUUUUUUUUUUUGUGUUGGUCAAGUGUAGGCCGAAUUUGUGGUUUAAUGUAAUGCCUUUGUGUUUGAUUAGGAUAUACCGGUUGGGAAAUCGAUUCAGUUCAAGUUCAUACUAAAAGAAAGCACAGGGAAUAUCUCAUGGCAGCCUGGCCCUGAUCGGAUUUUCCAGACCUGGGAAACUAGGAACAGGAUCACUGUUUCUGAAGAUUGGGCAGAUGCUGAGCUUCAGAAAAUAAUAGAGGAAGAUCGGGUUUCAAAUCAAAGCGAUGGUUCAAAUGUUAACGCAGAUAUGUUGAUUAUGGAUGAGAACCUGACACAGCUGAAUGGUGAACUGGCCUUCAAUACAACCAAUGAUCCUAAAAUCACCAAUAGUAACACUGAUUCGGCAGAGAACCCAUCAGUAGAACCAAGGAAGGAACAAAUUGGUGCUGAUAAUGGUUCUCCUUCACAAGAGAAUAUGACCCCUAAAUGGCCAAAGGCAUACGUGGAACCAUACAAGGAACGAGUUGCUGCAAGAACUGCAGUGCUUAAUGAAGAGAGAGUUAUUUUUCCGAGCAAGGAUUCUGCAGCCAUCUCAAGUAAGGAGUUGUUGGUGGCAGACAACAUUUUCGGAAAUAAUGGUAGAGCUGCAACAGUAAUGAACCUUACGAGCACUCACAUCGAGGGAAGCCUAGUUAACCAUGAAGAAGAUCCUGUUCUGGUACCUGGGCUGACUCCUUCACCAGCUGUUCCAAAUGAAGAAGUGAACAAAGAGGGAAUCGAGAAACAGAUGUCUUUUGAUGGCUCGGUUGGAGCCUUUGAAGCUAAGGAUCGUAAUAUGCCAGAGGUAACUGCUUGAUGAGCGUGAAGUAUCUUUUAUCUUUUUCUGUUUCUUCUUGUACUGCAUUCACCUCAGCCUGAAAUAACAAUCCAUUCAAUUUCCACAAAAUCGCGAGUUGUCAAGGGCUAUAGGAGAGAUUGAAUUACUAGGUAGUUUUUGGUUUCAUCUUGUAUGUUGUUGGAAUCUAUGUUUUCCAUGAAGAGAAUUUCAUGAUGAUGAUGUAUCGCAAGGCAAUUAUUUAAUUUCAUCGAAAUUGAGCAGUCAUCUAUAUAUUUUCAUGAAGAAUUGUUCAUGUAUUUUUGUUAGACCAUGUUCGUGCAAUAUCAUUGCAGUGUAAACGUUGUAUGCUACUAUACAAAUCCGUAGCCAUGUAUUCUCCUAUUGCAAAUCCAAACUGCGCUGUCUGAUUCAACUGAAACUAUUAACCCUCGCAAUAUGACAACGAAUUCUCUAUCAAGCAUUUCGUUUAUAUCUUUUGUUUCUGCUGGAAAUUCAUGAGCAUUUAGAGGAACCCUAUUCCUAAAAACAUGUGAAAGAGUUCAUGAUGAAUGAUUUCGUUGCUGUGCAUAAGGCCAAAGAGAAGUGGAAUCUUCGGUUCUUGAAUUUGGUGUGUUUUCUGAAACAGAGCAAGCCCGUGAUCAGACCGAUCAUUUGCCUCUCAUCAAAAACCCAGGUGGAUUCUUUUAUCUUUUUUCUGAAUAGUUAUCAUAAAUUCAGUUUUUUCAUUUCCUGGUUUUUGAAAUUUUGAUGAAGUUUCCAUUUUCGCUUUCUCCGUUUUCAAAAAUUCUGGAGUGUGAUGUUGUUCUUGUUUUUUGUCAUCAUUCUUUUCUUUGUGUAAAGUUUAGGAAUCUUGCUUUUUAGGUUGGGGCUCAAGAGGGUUUUGCUAGAUUCUCAUUAUUUUUUCCUUUUUUUGGAGUAGAUUAUUAUAUGGAAGCUUUAUUAUAUAAUCAUGUGAUUUUAUUUGUUUAAUCUUGUCUAAGCCGACAUUCACCUCUCCCAGACCCUGCGUAAAGCGGGAGCCUUGUGCACUGGAUACGACCUUUUUAAUCUUGUCUAAGCCUUCUGAUAUUUGUCAUAAUUUGUUUUCUUUCUUUAGGGAUGUAGUCAUCAUUUAGAAUAUUUGUUUGAAGAAUUUGUUUCCAUGUCAUAAAGUGUUAAUGGUUAUUAAGUUAGUUACUGGAGAAUAAACUUGCACUGAGAUAGUCAAUCUGAUUUCUGAGCAUUCUCUCUGCAGACAGAAUUGGAGAUUGCAGAUUCUCAAAUUCAGGAAACAUGUAAGUUCAUGCUGUUUCUUUUAAAAUAUUAUAUAAUACAUACAUACAUACAUAUAUAUAUAUAUGUGUGUGUGUGUGUGUGUAUGUGCAUAUUAAUCUUACUAACAAUACCAUGUCGUGCAGAUCAUACAAAAACUAUUCGUGUGAGAUUCCAGUUGCAGAAGGAGUGCUCGUUCGGGCAGGAGUUCCUCAUUGUAGGGGAUGAUCCUAUGUUCGGUUUGUGGGAUCCUGCAAGCGCAAUACCUAUGAACUGGUCAGAUGGGAAUGUAUGGACUGUUGAGCUGGUGAGUGAAAUCUACUAAAAAGUGUAAUUUUUUUUUUUUUUUUUUUUGGGUCUAGUAUAGGCAGAAUUUGUGGUUUAAUGUAAUGCGUUUGUGUUUGAUUAGGAUAUAUCAGUUGGGAAAUCGAUUCAGUUCAAGUUCAUACUACAAGAAAGCACAGGGAAUAUCUCAUGGCAGCCUGGCCCUGAUCGGAUUUUCCAGACCUGGGAAACUAUGAACAGGAUCACUGUUUCCGAAGAUUGGGCAGAUGCUGAGCUUCAGAAAAUAAUAGAGGAAGAUCAGGUUUCAAAUCAAAGCGAUGGUUCAAAUGUUAACGCAGAUAUGUUGAAUAUGGAUGAGAACCUGACACAGCCGAAUGGUGAACUGGCCUUCAAUACAACCAAUGAACCGAAAAUCACCAAUAGUAACACUGAUUCGGCAGAGAAACCAUCAGUAGAACCAAGGAAGGAACAAAUUGGUGCUGAUAAUGGUUCUCCUUCACAAGAGAAUGUGAACCCUAAAUGGCCAAAGGCAUAUGUGGAAUCAUACAAGGAACGAGUUGCCACAAGAACUGCAGUGCUUAAUGAAGAGAGAGUUAUUUUUCCAAGCGAGGAUUCUACAGCCAUCUCAAGUAAGGAGUUGUUGGUGGCAGACAACAUCUGCGGAAAUAAUGGUAGAGCUGCAACAGUAAUGAACCUUUCAAGCACUCACGUCGAGGGAAGCCUAGUUAACCACGAAGAAGGUCCUGUUCUGGUACCUGGGCUGACUCCUUCACCAGCUGUUCCAAAUGAAGAAGUGAACAAAGAGGGAAUCGAGAAACAGAUGUCUUUUGAUGGCUCGGUUGGAGCAUUUGAAGCUAAGGAUCGUAAUAUGCCAGAGGUAACUGCUUGAUGAGAGUGAAGUAUCUUUUAUCUUUUGCUGUAUCUUCUUGUACUGCAUUUACCUCAGCCUGAAAUAACAUCCAUUCCAUUUCCAUAAGACCGCGAGUUGUCCAGGGCUAUAGGAGAGAUUCUAUACUACUAGGUAGUUUUUGGUUUCAUCUUGUAUGUUGUUGGAAUCUAUGUUUUCCAUGAAGAGAAGUUCAAGUUGAUGAUGUAUCGCAAGGCAAUUAUUUAAUUUCAUCAAAAUUGAGCAAUCAUCUAUAAAUUCGCAUGAAGAAACUGUUCGUGUAUUUUCGUUACAAUCAUUAACCAACAAAGUUGACCAUCUUCGAUUCUUUGCACAAUAUCAUUGCAGUGUAAUAAACGUUGUAUGCUACAAUACAAAUCCAUAGCCAUGUAUUCUCCUAUUGCAAAUUGAAACUGCGCUGUCUGAUUCAAACUGAAACUAUUAACACUCGCAAUGUGACAAGGAAUUCUCUAUCAAGCAUUUCGUUUGUAUCUUUUAUUUAUGCUGCUAAUUCAUCAGCAUUUAGAGGAACCCUAUUCCUGAAAAAUGUGAGAGUUCAUGAUGAAUGAUUUUUCUUUGCUAUGCAUAAGGCGAUGCAUUGUUGUCGAACAUCAGUAUUUGAUUUAGAUGUUCUUGGCCCUUGAUAAUGCUGUUAUUGAUGUCCUCUUUUCUGCUAUCUUUUCAUGUACUCAAACCAAUGGAUUCAGUUAGACGAGAAGCGAGAACCAUACAGUGACCUACCUGAAGCAGAAACAAGUGUAAUGACCAACGGCGAUCAGGAGAAUUUUGACGAUGAACAAUUCCACUCAGAGCCCGUCAAUGAUAGUGUCCUGUGCAACGGCCAACCUCAAGUGGAAACAGCUUCCGCGAUCAGUGAGAGAGAGAAUUCUGCUAAGGGGGGAGGACAGUCCAACUCAGAGCCAAUCAACGAGGUCUUGCACAAUGAUAUGCAAUGGGGUCGUAGAAUGCUGCAAAACCUUCUGUCUGACUUCAGAUUGUUUUGGUAUUGACUUUUCCGGAAACCUGGGUAGAGAAUUUCCGGCAUUCACGUCAGCCUGCUGUUACUCUUCCGGCUUUGUUGCUGAAGUUUUGUGGUAGCCUGCAAAGAGGAGAGAGAGGCAAUCUUAUAAACAACGGUUAUAUGUAGAUAUGAUGCAAGAGUGCUCAGGCUUUUGUAUUCUUUUAGUUUGUCAUAUAACUGUGGCAUGAUGUGUGAGAGGAAAAUUUGUACCAAAUACCAAGUUUUGUAAGGAUUUGGUUGCUUUUUUCUAGUACUGUCAUAAAAUGCAGUUGGUCGAAGUGGAAAGCACCUGACUCCGUCUUUCGGAUGUAAAAUAAACGCCUUCUUUUUGUGUUUUUGAUGAGUUAUGUUUUCAUGUGUCGAACUAUUAUAUGAAGAAUGCGAAGGAGCCAAGCAGCGUGCGUGGCUGAAAUUUCUGUUGUGCAUAGCCCUUCGGGUUAGAACAUAAUUAGGAAACCAGUUAGCGAUGAAUUGUGUCAAAUCUCGGGAGAGUUUUGGAUUCCCUCCAUUGUGACCGAAACGGAAAUUAUGCUGUGCAGGAAAAAUGCAGCUUGAAAUUCUGAGUCCAAGAAGUAUCAAAGAAGUUGCUUGCCGAUGCUACCAGCUAACAGGUAGCUGGAGAACAAACUGUACUGACUGAGAUCCAUAUUAGUUAUCAACAAGCACAUUGCGUAUGGAAUUGGGUGCUCUUCACAAUUUCAGGUGCAGGAGUAAAUGCUCUUAACCGACCGAAUUAGAAGCCCUUGCGAGGUCAGUCUAUCCCUAAAUGCUAGUACGUUGACUAUUGAGAUUUACAGCAAGAUUUAAUUAUCCGAGAUUCCGAAGCAAAAUUUAAAUCUUGUUUUAAUUUACAGCAUUUGAUUCCUCCCAUAGAUCCUGAAGCAAGAACAUAUAGUGGACAUCAAAAUUUAUCAUUUCCAACACCAUAUUUUCUGGAGAAAUGAUUUCCGCACCCUUCUUCCCACUACUGUUUAUUUUUAGCAAUCAAAGGAUAAUCGAAUGAAUCACAUUAACAUGAGUAUGCAAAAAUCAGUCUAGUCUAUCUGUAUCGUAUCGAAUUCAUAUGACUAGGGUACGAAGAUGUGAAAAAGAUUUGAAAAGGAACCAACACAAUGUAAUUACUUAUGGACUUUGACGGGAUAAUACAAUUCCUUCGUUUUGAGAACAAGAUGGUCUUAAAUUUCAGGUUCCAUGCUGCAAUCUUAUGAUCAGUAAAAUCUACGUAAAAAUUUUCAAGGGGAAAAAUGUGAACUAUAUUCAGAGAUGCAAUCCCCAACCUCAAUAUGUAAGCAGGAAAAGAUGGGGCAAGAUGAAAAAAGAAACACAAAGAAUUUGCCCAGCUUUCCACCAACAAAAUAUACACAUACCCGCGUUGGCAAUAUUGAAACUGGCUCUCCGAAAGGGGUAAAUAUAUUCCGAAUUGUACAAGAUGCCGAAGUCGUGUGCCUCCAAAAGCCAGUCUUUCUACUUUUACCUCCUUGUUCCUUUAGUUUUCACAAAGCAUUGGAGGUUGGGGAGAGAUGCAGCCACCUGGACCUCGCCAAGACCAUUGUUUCAUUUGUCGAGUGCAAGAGGAAGAAUGCGCUAGCAGGAGCCAAGAUUGAAAUGACUCGUUUCAAUGUUUGUCUGCAACCCCAUUCUCUGCUGCCGUGAAAAUGAUAAACUUCGUGAACCAUGCAAUAUGUCUUCCUUGGGUCGUUUUGCAACCGACUCUAUCAAUCUGCAAAAAGAUAAUAACUAAAUUGAAAAAUUUAGGAAACACCGACAUUCAUGAAAUAGUAAACAUUGAACUCAAAAAUCUUUUGGAGCCUUUUAUUGUAUAUCCCAGGCAGUGUCUGACCAUAAUCUUGAACUACUUGUCAAUCUUACAGAUAUACAUUUGCGCAUAGGCUAGGAGUUCGUUCUAUUUGACCUCUGGCCUAGCAACACCAAGCGAAAAAAUAAAAAAAUAAAAACUCAAAAAAUGCCUAAAUGAACCAUAAAGACAUCUAAUAUCCAAGCAGAAACACAAAAGAAGCCAUAAAUCAACAUAAAGUAUGACUUGGCCAUAUUAUAUCCAACCAAGAACCCUUCAGGCUUCCAGAAUUGCCCAGCAAAUAACAAAGAUUUGGUUUCAGAAAUGUCUCAGCUCAAACAGGGUGAAAAUAAGUGUUGUGUUACCUUGGGGAACUGGCACGCUUUAGAACUUGCUGACUCACCGUAAAAGUACUUCCAGGUUCAACUUCAGCAGCCUGUAUAUUUGGCAUUGAACACACAGGCAUUAAUCAGGAAAUUCAACGCAAAAGUCAAAAAUAUUACACACUAGAUGGAGGUCUCCUGUUUCCAGUUAAAGGAAGAUAGUAAUUUUGGGUUCAGAAGCUUCCCUCUCACAGGAGAUAAAUGGAAAUGGUUUCACCACAUGCACAAGUUAGAUCCAGCACAAAUAUUGGGAAGAAAAAUGAAAUCUGUGAGAAGUUUAAAACAAGUCUAUGAGAAGUUUAAAAUUCAAGUAGAAGCCAUACAGUGGGGUGGUAAUGGUGAUGAGGAUAUCUAAAAACAUAUCGACUGAGGUACGAAUAAUUGCUAUUCAUUCAAACCAAAAAGAGAAAAGAACAGAGGUAAAUCAAGCACAUGGGAAUACUUGGAUAACGGGUAGAAAUGAGGGACUGACAACCAAGCCCGUACCUUUCAAAACAGGAAUUAAUGGAGCCAAUAAAGCAGCAGUAGCAAACAUUGAGGCCAGCUCAUUCCGCUUACAGUGUUUUAGCCAUCACAUCUUCGUGAGAUGCAAAAUUCAAAAUAGGAGUGGUUCUCCUUUCAGUGUCUUGCCCACAUACCCUUUAUCCAAGCAUCACCUAUGUUUUUGAACAUAGAAAAUCAAAUCAACUAAUGAAAGCAUCAGCAAUUAUCCCCACCUCUGAAGUUCUUUCUUUAGGCGAUCCAUCCCUUAGCAGCUCAGCCGAUCCUGGACCAACCAUGUCCAAUAGAAAUCCGUUUUCAUUUCCUUUAUUUAAAUCUCUGUCCACGGCACCAGAACGAGGUGCAAGAUAUGCUACAUAUUUAUCUGCCAUCCGACACACAAAAUACAUUCAGCACAUACAAACAAAAAUACCACAGAAAACUGCAAGGAAAAAAACGUGGUUAACUAAUAAAGUUACCAGCCAAGCUGUGAAGGGCAUUCUCAGCAGCCUGUUGUUGAGCAUCCUUCCUCGUCCUACCCAUUCCAAAACCUAUCUUCUCUCCAGUGAAAAGAACCUUUAAAAACGAAGUUAACAAUGAGCACGUUAGAGUCCAAAAUUGAUACAAGAUAGCUCCUCAAAACAAAAUAAAGUACAAAUGCAAAAUGUAUAAACAAACAAAUUAAGAAAGGAGCUUUAAAUUUUUUUCCAAAAUUGCUCUUAAAAAAAGACAUUUUCUCCUGGCCGGGUUUCAUUGAUUUGUUCUGCUAAAGAAAGAUUAAUGACAAAUCAGGGUCAGCUUAUAUUUAGAAAACAGCACUCCUUAAGACAACAUUUCAAAUAAAACAUCUAUUGGGUAUAAUUAAGUCAUUUCACAACAACUUCAUACAUAUAAGGCAUAUAAUUUACACAGAACAACAGCUGUGAUGUCAAUAAGCAAUUAAACUACCAAAGUACAAAGGGAAAGAAAGGAAGUUCACUGACCUCAACAGAAAACUGCAAGUCAUUGCUGGUGCUUAAAACAGACCUGAACUCAAUCUGAGCAACGGGCAUAUCAUGGAUAACUCCAUUAGGAAAAAUUAAAAAGAUAAGAAAGAAAGGAGGGCAUGGGGCGCCACAACGGGGGCAUAAAACUAAAGCUAUUCAUACCUUUGAACUGCACCUCCGUCCAAUUUCCUGCAGCACUCCAAUAGAUAAAGGGGAUGGUACCAGGUUUACUUUACCAGAUUCUGUUUGAGAUUCUAUAUUCAAAGAAGAUGCCUGAAUCUGGGAUACACCAGCCUCUGCACCGAAAAACCAAAUCACUCCUCAAAAACACCAUAUACUAUUAAUUCUAAUAGAAAAUUAUAACUUAUCUCGUGAAUUUUUUAUCAAAAACCGUACAAAGACAAAACGAUAAUCCCAUUCCUAUCCUUCCAAGUUGUGGGGUUAACAGGCUACAAGUUAAUAAAAUUAAAACGAAGGAGAUAAAGAUAAAGAUAAAGAUAAAGACAAGGGGAAAGGCUCAUUAGGCACAAAGCAGAAUGAUGUUAAACUAUACUAAGUUGGAAAGACUAUUGGACUAUUGGAAAAGACUGAUGGGAAGACUAUUGGACUCUCCAGUUCUUUUUAAUAUUAAAAAAAAUAUUCCUCAUUUAAACUUAAAAAGUAGAAUGAUGUUAGGCAGCAAGUAUUUUAUAAAAGAAACCUUUCAAACUACUUGAGAGGAUAAGGACAAAUCAAAAGGGAACUUAAAAAUCAAGGUUAAAGGUAAUUUGAAAAUUAAUGGAUAAUAAGUAAAAUAUCUAUUUUUAAGAUUUUCUGAGCUCCAAGGAACAUCAAUGUCUCCCUUGUAUGUUUAAGAUUUUUCAUGAAAUGACCAAAAUGAUUUCCAGACAAAUUCAGGGACCACUUCUAUCGAUUUUCGUUGUCAGCGACCAAAGUGAGGAGUUAUGCCAAUCUUAGGAACCAUUUUGGGUAAAAAUCCUAAAUUAGAUUACCUGAUGGCUGACUUGGCACAGGAAGAUUUUGCAAAUCACACCCAGAUGAUAUCUGCAAAUAGAGAAAGUUUUGGCCACUGAGAUGUUUCUGGAGUUCUUAUAGUAACACCUUAAUUCAAAUUGUCAAAACAAGUCUCUUAAAGAAAUUUUAACAAAUUCUGACCAUACCUCUUCCCUCUUUAAAUCUGAUUUGUGUGAGAGCAAACCAGUGGGUGUCGAACCUGGUUUAGCAGGACUGAAAGGAUUCUGGUAAACUGACUUUUCAGGUUUUGAAACAUCAGGCUGCUGAACAAGCCCAGAAGGGCGAUUACUCGGAUGUCCUCUAUUGUUGUCGUCAUCAUCAACCAACCAUCCUCCUUGUGCAUUUAUUGAGGAUGCUGGCAGUUGUACAGGCACUCUAGAUAGAAGAGGGGGCUCAGCAGAGCUUUGACUCCUUAUAUCUAGAUUAGGAGUUGUACCAAGGAGUCCUCUCCUCAUUUCAUGGUCACGAUCAGAAAAGCUAUCUCGUCUAACAGGAAGUCCAAGCAGACCAGGUUUCUGAGAAGGCAUGACCGGCCUCAAAGAUGUACCGGCAGCAUUGGGAAGAAUUGCAGUCGGUGCUUGAGAGUUGUCACACCUUGACUCGGCAUUUUUCACAGAUUGAACCACUGACUCCACGCUACCCUUAUCAUCAGAUGGGUUCAAUCUUCGUUCCACUUCGCUACCAUUCAUUCCUUCACUAAUGGGAGCAUUAGCAUUUCCAUUUGGUGCAAAACCGGUAUCCUCGAACAUCAAGUAAUUGCUCACAUCAGGAGCAGGAGGCAAAUUUACCACCUCAUCUUCAUAAAAAACUCCAGAAAUUCUUCGCAACAAAAUUUCAUCAAACUCUUUGAAAAAACAACCUCUGACAUUGCAUGCAACAUUUCUUGCUACACAGAGGACUGGAACUGCACUAGCUGUCUCUGCUUGAGGAGCAUAAUAAGGGGUGAAUGCUGGAACAACAUGGACUCGAGGUUGAUCCUUAUCUUCCCAGACCUUGGAACGGUCAUCAAUAACCAUUGCCAUCUUUGGAUGGCACACUCCUUGUUGGAAGACAUUGAGUAAAGAUUUCCUGGAGCCUGAUUUAACACAAACAACACGGUCCAGAAGCUGCUUUGAGUCUAUUAAGUGUGACCCUGGGUCAAGAAGCCUCCACAUUUCUAAGGCAUAAUCUCUUUCAGCCAUAGUACAGACGUAAACUUCAAACCUCUUGCGUCCUUUUGCAGUUAAAUAACUUCUCAAAUCUUCCCAUGCAGGUCGUAACCGCACAAGCACACUGGUAUCGCGAUUCUGCAUUAAAAACAACAUUGUAUUGUAGUCCUUUGCACAUUUGUAUGAGAAUAUGUAGCUACUAUAAUGAGAUUAACUACAUAUCACUCAUUCUACUUUUUUGUAAGAGGACAGAUGUUUUACUAUAUAAGUUCUGACAGCUUCCUGACUAAUCAAACCGCCACAUGAAUUUUGGAAAAUUUAAGAGGUAAAUAUCGCACAGAACGGGUGCAUGUAUCAAUGGAUAAAAAAGUUAACAUCCAUACGUUGAUCAAAAAAGCAAUGCAGGUGUUUGGAAAACCUACAAAGGUCUAGCUAAAUGAAAAAAAAUUUAAAACUGAAUUGCAAACAAGAUUCGCCUACGCUCUUAGCAUGCAGCCAAAUAUUUUGUCUGCCUAAGGGACACACUACGUAGUUUUCAUAACUUUUGCAUUAGGAUGGUGUUGUUCUCAAGUCCUAGGAAUGAGAGAUAUUGCAACGUAUUGUCUCAAUCCGCUCAUUCAUUAUCUCUAAAAAAAGGCAUUUAGCGCACUUCCCAAUCCACCAGGCCAAACAUAUAAAACAAAAGGACACAAACACAUAAAACAUAAAGAAACAAACAUGACUAGAGGAUCACCUCAGGAUUGAUGCGAGUGAGCACAAUGUUCUUCUCUGGCAAUCUAAUGAUAGGCCGAACAAUUUUCUCGUGGUUAUCAGACAGUGGAGGAACCUCCUCUAGUUGUACCUUAUACAACUUUCCAUUAUCCGUCACACAAUCAUUAUCUAUGUACUGCUUCAACAGCCACCUAUCGUCCAUGUACCGCUUCAUUUCAGCAGACAUUCCGGCCAUUCGAACCCCAUCACUCUCGCGUGCAACCCAGCUUCGUAAAGUCUCAACUCUAUCCUCAAAAGACUUCAUGGUGUUGGCAACAAUCAACGUCUCAUCGAGAUCAAACACAAUUGAAAGAACCCUCAGAUUCAGCAUUCCUAGAGAAGCACUGUACAGACCUAGAGGAACCGCAUAGCACCAAAAGCACGGAAAUUUCUUCUGCUUACUCGGCAUGGCUACCAAGUGAAUCUCUUCAUCCCCAACCAACACAGUCGCCGUCUGCGUAACACAAUUAAUCACCGCAUUAGUACACUCCGCUUGAUUAACUCGAAAAUAAAAACAAAAUCUGGAUCACAUUCUUCAUUUAAUCAAGAUACUAAGUGAGCUAACUUUACUAGGUCAGUUUAUCCAAUCAAAUUACAUCCAAAAACUUCAGAUUAAACUUCUAUGCUGCUGGUACAUUUUCUAGGGAACCAAACAAAAAGCUCAAUCUAACAAAACCAACAUAAAAAAAAAGCGAAAUUCGGAAAACGGAAGCGAUUGAGUGGGGACCUUGAACUCAUAGAAACAGGAGGCGUGGAGAUUGAUCAAAUGCGGCUGUUCGACAGGGGAGGACGAUUCGAGUUUGCAUCGAACCGAAAACGAAGAAAUCGUCUGGAGAAUCGAGAGGGGAGGACACCUCUCGCUUUGCUGCGAAAUCCGGUGGAUUCGAAUCUCAUUGUUUGGGAACUGGAAACUCCCCUCCGUCACCGGAAUAGCGUCCAGCUCCCCCAAACACAGCUCGCCAUGGUAGACCACGGACUUAAACCCUAAACGGCUCAUUAAUUUAGAUCAAUCCGAGAACGAAAGCGCGAAAAUUUGAGGCCAAUUCGUAAUUUGAAAAGAUCAGGGGGUUUUCUGUGAAAAAUUUGGGAGUAAUUCUCCAGUUUCGCUCUCUGCUCCUCCUUUCUCACUACUCUCAGACCUCUUCGCCCUCACUCUCUCUCUCUCUCUAACUUUCCCUCUCUAUCUCCCUCUCUCUGCCUACGGCUUCAAACAAUGAGACUCGCCGGGUAUUUAUACGCCCAAGGGGGCAGUUAUGUGUCCAAAUUACCAUUAUAUCCAUUCGGUCCGGACCCAUUGCCUUACGUGUCAUGCCCUUGGCGGGUAGACGAGAAAAUAAUUUGACGCGUGUCGUAUGGAGGAGUCCCAUGAUUUUGAAUGUACGGAUCCGAACCGUUGGAUCGUGGGUCGGAUUUUUGGACUUUUCCGAAUCGUUCAGCUCAAGAGGCAUCAAGAAUUGGCCACCGAAAUACAAAGGUACAGGUCUUUAUUAUUGCGAAAAUAAAAUGAGGCUAUUCAAUAGCCAUCGCGUAUUUCAUUACUUUUCUUCCUUUCCGUCCAAAAUUAGAAAAAAAGAAUAUCGAAUAAUUGAUUCAUCAUUGAGAGGAUUAACUCAAAAAAGACGAAUAUUGUGAUGCUUUAACAGCAACAGUUCAAACAAGACUUUUCCAUUUCGUGUACUGUGGAAAAUACGAUAUUAUUUUAUUUUUUAUUUUUUUAAUUCAGACAGUUAAUUUGAUUUUUGUCAGCUAAUUAACGGAAACCAGGCUGAACUUUGUUAUUACUUACAUGAAAUUUCAAUUUGAAAAUAUAUUUUAUACAUAUAUAUAUAUAUAUAUAUAUAUAAUUAUAAGACCAACAUCAAUGGUUAAGUUAAAAUUCAAAAUUUAAGUUUUAAACUCGUCCAAAAUUUCUCCAAUCAUUGGGCUAUAAAAAUGACUUGGAUUAAGACUUAUUUUUGGGAUAAAUUUAACUGAGAAAACAGACUAAGAUUAAUGGCUGAGACCCAGUUGCUAACUUUGUCAAUCACUUACAAAAUGAAAUUUUAACGAAAAACUUCCAGUACUUUUCACUUUAACGAAAAAUUAUAUUUUUACAUUAAAAAGUUAAUCCUGGUAUUAUUCACUUUAACUUUUAUUUUAUCCUUAUCAUUACAACUCAAAGUUUUUAAAAUUUUUUUUAUUAAUUUUCCUCUUACAAAAUAGCAUCGACUGUUUUUUUUUAUUUUUUUUUAUCUGACGGGCCACAUAGGAUGAGCUGAAACAGGAAAAGUUGUAUUUAUAAUGUUUUGGUACGUAAUUGACCGGGAAUAAACGUCGCGGUCAUAAAGAAUGUUAGUAAGCUGGGUGAGGUCCAUUUGGACUUUAUUUAAAUUGGGGGACUGUGAAAAUGGGCCUCUAGAGAUACUUGGCCCUCAAAAUCCAAUUAGAAGUCUCAAAUAGGAUUUGACAACUCAAUUUAUUGCAUGUGACUCUUUCUUAAUCGGUGAAUUGCAGUAGCGAAAUUACCAGCUGGUCUUUAUUUUUUAAUAAAAAAAAUAGAUUUCCAAAAACAUUUACUUUAUAAAUAAAAGUUUGCUAUUUGUUAGGUUUAUUGCAUGACCACACAUAUACGGGAUUCCAGGGGUUUUUUCCUCUCCUAAUUUUAAUUUUUUCCUCAAAAAAAUAUCAUUCACCUUAUCUCCUAAAAUCCUAAUCCUAAAGCACAGAACCAAGCUCCAAAAUCCAUCAUAACCCACUAAGCAAAAAAAGAAGCAAAAGCACAAAGAACCAAAAAUUAAAGUCAAGAACUUUCUCAUCUGUAAAAUGACAUUGAAAAAACAAAAGCUGGGAACUUUGAAGAAAAGUAGAUUACUGUGGAAUCUGGAACCCUAAGCUGAAAUGGGAGGCUCUGGAAUCCUGCUUAUGUAACGGAAAAGUGCUUUUGCGUUUCUGGGCCUGUAUGGUUUUAACCAAAAACCAAAACCCAAAUGGCAUAGAAACAGAGAAGGCAGAUGGCCGGUGGGAAAGUAAAGGGGGAGGAUUAAAUUGAAAACCCAUGUUGCGUACGAACAAAAGUUUAGGAAAUAGGAAUUGGGUUUAGUGAAUUAUCACUUUUCAGUGGGAAAUUUGAUAAAUUUGAAGAGAUCAAAAGCACCAAUUACAGAAACGAGUGAGAGGAGAGGCUAUGACUGUUCGUGAUGGCUGACAUUGUUUUUCUUGGGUUUAAUCUCUUACCCAAACUGCAAGGGAAGGGACAGAUUAGGCAAAUUUAAAGUGAGGGUUAUGGUGGAGAGGGACUUAAUGGGAGUGAUCACACUCGUAGGUCAAAUUUGAUUGAUUUGGGCAUUCUCCUCCAUAAUUCUUUAGGCAUUUUCUGGUACUGGUAGGUAAUCGGUCACACGGAAACUGCUCAAGUUUCAAACUCACCAAAACCAAGUUUUGUACAAAAGAAAAUAUAUCUUAGUUGAUUUUUUCUUGCUAGGAGGAAAAAUCCUUCUUUCUUGACGCACGAGAGAUUUUUGGGUUAACAUGCGGACGUUAUCAACCCAACUGGUUAACCUUUAUCAACAUUCCCUUCACUUCAAACACCUUAUUUACUGUUCGACAUAAUUAAGUAAGCGGAAGUGAUUUCCGCACUCAUUUUUCUCUCCUGCAUUCCUCCCCUUUUCUUAGGAUUUGGAUUGAAUAGGUCAAAAGAGAAUCAAGAGUCGGAAAAAAGGAGACAAGUGCAAAAGGAGAAAACAGGAAUGUGAAAUUCACUACCUUAAGCAACUCGACGUGGAAUGUUCUAAUAUGACAACAAUAUGAAGAAUGAAACCUUAAUAAUUUCAAGUUUCGUAGUUUGAAGUGAACAGCAAAAUGUAAAUGCCGAAGGAGGUCUUCAGCUUCCAAUCAUCAAAAUAUAAUACGAACAAUCAUGUCUACAGAGAAUAUGGUUCAUUGGAUGCACCUGAUAUUUGUUCCGCUAGCAAUGUGAGGACCGAUAUUCAGAACAGACGUGCACUCACAAGCUUUCUCUAACAUUUACAGUAUUAUCGCGUGCCUUCUACCAUCAGCUCCUUCAGGAAUGAGUUGCCGCUUAAUUAUCAUGCUGAUUAGGCCAACCCCAUGUCAAAUAAUAAUGUUGAGAUAAUGACGAGGAUGGAUGCAAAACCAAUAAUCCGGGGUUGAUGGUCACAUGGGGUGGUCACCUACCUCGAUGGCUUGCAGGAGAGGAAUUUCCUCUCUCACUUCCAAGAUCAAUAUCUUCAACUUCACACCCCUCCAAACUAACAGGAAUGGUGUUGACACUUGGUUCGGAGCUAGCAUUGCUGCAUGUGGCAAGAGGAGAAUCCAUAGCACCAAUUGUAUUGCUUUUUGUUGGUUUUGUUCUGACGCUAUACCCAGAGGAGGCUGGAACAUUUGUCAGAACUGGCCGUAGAUUGCCUGCCAUGCUUCGCUUUAUAUCCUGCAUAAGAAAAUUCCAAAAUUAGUUAAAAACUACUUCUUACAACGAGUGCUUUGCUAGUGACGCGGAUAAUUAUGUAUCACACCAAGCAUAAUUUGGAUAGUACUAAGUGGGUUGCAAGAUCUGAAUGCAGAACAUUACGCAUUAAGUGAAACAAAGUGCACUUGAACAACGAAGGUGAUACAUACCAUGUGCCUCAUAGCCAUAUCAAAGGACUUUUUAGAAAGAUUUCUUCCAAAGCCUGAGCUUUCAGAGGAUGAAGGCUUCCCAGCAGAACCCUUAAGAGUAGUGUAAUGGUCAUAUUGCUUAGGUGGUGCCAAUCUCCUCGAGUUUACUACUCUCUCAACCAUUUGUGUUCCCAUAAGUACAGGGUUCACAUCAUCAUUGUCAUGGGCAGAUGCUCUGCUUAUGACUCGAUGAGAGUUCCCACUGGUAGCGGUAAUAACAUUUGAAGCCCGUGCUCUAGAAGGUGAACACGAUUGCUGUCUUGGAUUUCCGUUGCAACCAGCCACAACAGAAGAUGUUUUAACACUUGGCGCUCCAGGCCUAUCCCUAGAGGCUGAAGCCGGCCUUUGUGGCAAUGAUGUUCUUAAAUUUGGCGGAGCAUCAUGUGAAAACCCAGGAAUCUUAGAGGAUUUUGAGGGCCUUGGUUUUACCGUUGGAGAACUUCCACGUGAUGAAACGGGAGUUUUUGAACUUGUGGGACGUAACUUUGAUGCUGAAGAAGAUCGACCAGGAGGGGCAGAUACAGCAGAUGCACUUGAUGAACUUAGUUGACGGGUUGGUGUCGCUGAUCUUGAUGUUGGUGCAGAAGGUCUGCCAGUUGGUGUAGAAGAGCGAGGAGUGGACCGAGAAGGAGUUGAAGAUCUCACUGGAGGAGCCGCAAGCUUUGCGGAUGAUGAGGUGGCUCGUGAAUUUGGGGUGGAGGAUCGUGAGGGCUUGGUUGAUGAAGGUAAUGUGGACCGCCCAGUUGGUGUUGUGGACCGUCCAGUUGGAGUUGUAGACCUACGAGUAGCAGCUCCUGACCCUCUGGGUGUUGAGGGCCUUCUGUUACCAGUACUGGAAGAGUUCAGUCCAGACGGCAAUGUUGGCUGCUUAGAUGUUAUAUUGUUCCUUGAAGCAGAUUCUAUCUGGUUGUUUGCUAGCUGAAAGUCCCAAGUUAUGGAAACAUAACAGCAUAAAUUUGCAAAUCAAGACUUCAAAAGUAAAAUGAAAUGUCCCAAAACAAACAAUAAAACACCACAUGCAGUCAUAAGUUUGUAACUCGUAAAGAAGACUAAAACUAUGGGAAGAUUCAAGUCCAACAUUACUAUGACACACAUACAUCUCAUAGAAUCUACGAUCAACGAGUCAAAUGUACAAAUGCUGCACGUACAUUUCAUAGAAUUAACAACAAUGAGUCAAAUGUACGAAUGCAGCACAUACAUCUCAUAGAAUUUAACGCUUAUAUGCAUCUAGAAAUCAUUUUAACGAGUCCUUACCCGAGAUUUUGGAGCGAAUACACGGUCAUUAGUAACCUCAGUCUGAUUCGUUAUUGUUUUCUGCACUUCCAUAUCCAAGGACGGAAAAAGUGGAGUAGCCGGUGGAGUAAGAAGCCUGUACAUAGAAAAGAUCACCGAUAAACGAUAGCAGAACAACUCCGGAGUCCAGACCAAAGCAUAGAGAUAAGAGCGAGAACUAUAACUAUAAGUCUACAAAAUUGAACAAGAAUUUCUAUGUGAAGGCUCAAAUCAAUUUUUCUUGAAAACAGCCCUUAGAAACAGAACAGCCCCCGAUUUUUCGGACACCUCAGCGAAAUGUUUUGGAAAUCAGAUCCCAUCUCAUUAGUCCUAGGAUAAUUAAUCCUAUCCAAUUUAGCAACAGAGCAAUUAUCUUCAUCAAUUCAACAAGUUACCAUGAUCGGAGGCUUAAACUUUGAUUAGUCCUAGGAAAAUUUAAUCCCACCAAAAAAUAAGCAUAAAAUCAAAGACUUGAACUUCGACACUAAUUUACUCACCAAUCGUAAUCAGACUUCUCAUUCUCCGAAUUCAAAAACUCAUCCACCCGGCUCUUCCGCGGCGGCGCCCCAACAGUCCUAGAAACCGCCGCGCCUCCGCGGUUAACAGAUUCUGCACAAACAAGCGCAAGCACCAUCAAAACCAACAGACAAAGACCGAAACUUUAAACCACAAACAAGAAACCCAAAAGGUCGUACCCGGAGGAGCAGCGGCGGCAAUAGCGUCGAGCUCAUCCGCGUUCUUGCUCGGAGGAAGAAGAAGAAAGCCGGUAUUUUUCUCCUUGUCGCGCCUCCGCAUCUCGAGAAACAAAGCGAGCUCUUCGUCUCUGUCGUUCGCGUUCACCACCUUCCCGAAGCUCCGUUCUCGCGCCCUCGACUCCAAUGUAACUUCCAUGGUUGUCUCUGCAGCUCAGCAAACACAGAGGCUGCUGCGAGGAGAGAGAGAGGAGGAGCGGAGUUUUUUGGUAGCUGAAAUUUUCAGGUGCUGUUUUUUCUUGGCAGUUCUCUCUCUCUCUCUCUCUCUCUCUCUCUCUCUCUGUUUUGCAAGAGUUCAGAAAUUUGAAUACGAAAACGAAGCAUUGGGAAAUUAAUAUUUUAUUUAUGGGCUAAGAGGUGGCGAUAAUUACGACUCUGCCAUUGUAUUUGUUCUUGCGAGACGCGGCCUUAGUCAUCUUCCUCAUCCACUGUAGACAUGUGAAGAUAAAGCUGGAUUGAAUUGGAUACAUGUAUGCGUGAUUUUUGGGAUAGAAAAAGCUUAGAACUUCUUCCAUAAGAUUCUGUAGGAGAAGAUUGAGAUUUGAACGCAUGACUUCAAGUGCAGAGUAAACGCUCUUAAUUACUUUAUAUAUAAGUAUCUUAUCUAGAAUGGUAAUCAAAGUUUAGCAUCUUAGAAACUCUUGGAAUUGGAUUAAAAGACGAGAGAGAAUUAAGUUACUGGUUCACUUUCCUCCAAAUAUAUCAAAAACAAACGUGUAGCUCAUUAGAUUGUUAAAUUUCAAUAUGUGACAAGGAAAAUCUCUUAAUAAGAUUUUUAUAUUGCUUGUAACUAGACUAUUUGUUUUAGUAUGUUGCAAAAUAUGUUCAAGAUUGUGAAUACAUAUUACAUUUGAUCACUCUAAUUACAUAAAAUGUGCUGUUGAGAGAUGUCACAGUCUGACAACAUAAUAUGUUAAACUGUGUGAUAAAAGAAUACUUUGCUCAUUUGUCAUGUUUGCAUGUGAACAUAUCAACUACAACCUCAACUACAUCGAGAUUUUGUGAUCAAACGUAAGAUAAAAACAAUUGAAACUCAUCAAUCAAUGGAUAACCCCUAUAACUUGACAAUAAACGAAUUGUUUUUUUUUUAAUAAUAACUCCCUACACUUGAGUUAAUAAUACACUUUCCAAACUAAUCAAAAAUUACAAACUUACAUAAAAUACUUGAUUACUUGCAAUACAAGAAAUCUUAUAAUUAAUAGGUCACCUCCUCAAUUCCUAAAAAUACUAUUCUACCCCCAUCUUUUAUGAAGUUGCUUGAAUGUACUAGUACAAGAAGCUCCAAAAUUAUUGAAAGAUUAUCACAUUCCAAGCAAAUGACGAAAUCAGUGGCAAUUUCGUAAUUAAGCGCUCAGGCAAACCCAUUUUCCAAACGAGAUAUAAAAUUCGGGAGUAACAUUCCCAUUACGUAAUGGCACAUGGUGGAAGCCGCGAGCCUUUGCCUGACGACAUGUCGUAUUAAAACGCCGAGGAAUUUAAUUCAAACUUUCUUGUUCAAAAGAUGCUCGGAUUUAAACGUGGGUUGUUGGAUUCCUUUCCUCGAGAUGGCCUACUCCACAUCGGACGGCUGUUGUUGGUUGGCAGAUUUAUUAGGAGCUUGUAUGUCGUGGGUCCCACCUCGAGAAUCGUGUGGUUUAAAUUUUGAUAUGUCUCGACAAUAAAAAAAAUUUCAAUAUGCCGAAACACAAUUCAAUAUACUAAAUGUCAUAAUAUAAAUAAUUAAAUAUUUAAAAAAUAUAUAUUUCAACUAUUUGUAUUAAAAUACUGUAUUGUCUGACACACUUACAAUUUCCCCUUAAUAUGCAGUUCGUGGGUCCGGAUGAGAUUGCAGAUUGCUGUGACUGGUCAGUCACCUAUGGCCCACACAAAGCCCAAUCCGAAAAGGAUCAUAUCAUAUGACUGUAUUUUUUAAGAAAAUGUUAUUGAUAUUUCAAAAAUCAUAUUCUACACUUAUUAUAAAUGUAUUUUUCUUUUUAAAUAUAGACAGUUUGGAGCGUUUAAGAAAAAUUUCACUGUAGAUCAUGUAAUUCAAUUUUUAAAAAUUUUGGACAUGAAGUUUGUACUUUUUUAAUUUGAUUUAACUUGCUAACUCAUUAGAUUUGAGGAUGAAAUUUCGCGUAGCACUACAUGCGUGUUUUAUAUGUUCGACUUUUUAUAGUAUUGCGUGUUUUAAAUCAGUUUGAAAAACUGAGAAUUUCGAGCGUUUAAACUAGGUUUUCAGGUUUCUGGCAAAAUAUUAAUCGUUGUUUUUAGGGCACGUUUUCUUAAGCCAAAGCACUUAAAUGUUACUUAUGCUCAUGCAUGUGAUGUCAUGUCAAAUUUCAGUUCUUAAUUUUAAUGGAAGGUAGGAAUUGAAUAAAGAAACUAUAAUAUACCAAAUUAAAUAAAGAAAACUAAUAAAAAAAUUUGAAACCUUUCAGUUUUAACAAUAAAAACAAAAUAAAUAGUAAAAUAAAUAGUAUCAGAAUUGAAUUUUUUAAUGUAAAAAUAUGAUUUUUCGUUAAAAUGAAUAAAACCAGAAGUUUUUUGUUAAAAUUCCCAAUUAAAUAAGUAAGGAAACUACAAAAUUAAGGUUUGCCUAAAAUCAGAAAAACAAGUAAGACAAUGCAUUUCUUAACAUCAAACUCCACACAUAAAAACUCAACCUUCCAUUUUCAAUCCCCUAAAACUAAAUUCGGGAAUCAAUAUCCAUACAUUCAUUUCUACGAAUCAAACAUAGCCUGCGUGUAAGUUUCGAGAGUAAAAUAGAAUAAGACAACAUUUUGUGUGAGGAUAGAAAUACAUGUGUUGUGUUAGGGUAUGGUUGGUACUCUACUUGAAUAUAAUUUUUUAAAAUAAAAAACAAUUUUAAGUUUUGAGCUUUAAAAACUUGUUUGGUAUGAUUAUUUUCAAAAAUUAAACUCAAGACUAACUAAAAAAUAUAGUCUAUUACCUAAAAACAUAAAAAAUGAGUUUUUAGAGUUUUUAAAUUUAAAUUCACUUAUUUCUUUUCUCUCCCUCCUCCCCCCUCACUCCAAAUCUAUUUCUCUCUUCUUCUUUCUCUGUCCUAUUUUUUUACCAUUUUCGUCUCUUUUUCAAUCCGUUCUUUUCAUUUUCUCCAUUCUUUCUCUCAUUUCUCUUCCUCUCUAUCUCGUCCAAUCCUCUAUUUCCUUUCUCUUUCUUUCAAUCAUCUCUUACUUUCUUUCAUUCUCUCUCCUCUUUCUGCCUCUCUUGCGACCUUUUUUUUUAGAUAUCUUUGUCUAGUUUAAGUCGUAAGAUUUAAAAUUUUUAAAUCGCAAACCAAUCAAGUUUUUGAGUUUUUAAAAAUUGUUAUCAAGAAAUGUUUUGAAAAAGGAUAAAGGAAUUCAAAUGGAAUACCAAACAUGCCCCUUAGUGUUUUCAGAUAUACGAUCAAAUACACUAAGUGCCAUAAUGCAAUUAGUUGAAUUUUUUUCUUCAAAUAUUUAGGCACUUAUAUUAUGACACUUAUGUGUCAGUGUUUCUAACACAUUCAAAAACUUUUUGUAUUUUUGGGGUCGGAAGUGAGUGAGACGUGCAUGGCAUGUUGCAUGCUCAAUCGAGCCCCAUGCUCCUCUCAUGUGUUAUUUGUAGUGGGUAAGGGGCACGUGGUUGUCGCAUCGAGUGUAGAAUUUUUGGUGAUAGUCGGAGCAAUCAGUGCCUAAGACAAUGAUGUUUUUACACCAUCAGGUCCUGUCGUCCCGAGACCAUACAAAGCAUUUGUAGCUGCAGAAUAAGAAUAAUUGCAAGUGGUAGGCAUCACCGCAUUAUUGCAAGGGAGAUGUUAACCACAUUCUCAGUUCAACAUUUUUGUUCUACUUUUUCGAUUCUCUUUUAUUUUGAUUUUUAUUCUCUUUCUAUUUUAUUUGUAAUGAUUGAAGAUGACUUGAACCGUCAACUUUUUAGGUCGUCCUUUAAAGAUCGACUUUAUAAAACACUUAUCAAAUCAAUCAACUUUUAGCUAUUCAAUUAACGUUGUUAAAAUUUCAAUGUUUAAUUGUUUGAUCGAAGAACAUGAUUCAUCUAAUCAUUGAAUACUAGUUUGAUGGCUAAAGGAUUUCACAUUUGGUUGAUUUUGGCAAAGAUAAUCUUUAUACAACGACCUAGAAAAUAAAGGGUUCGAAUCAUCAUACAAUGUUUCUAUCCGUUUUUAUGAUAGGCAACUAUGUCACUGAAAGCGGACGUUACUCAAAUGCUUAAGAGCAUUUACCUUUGACCUCGAGAUUAUUCGUUUGAUUCCCUCCGCUGGCAACAUCGCUGGAGAAUAACUCUCACAGAAUUAGAUUCAUGAAUGAAUAAUGAGCACAGAAACAAUGCAAUUUUCCGAUAGGCAACUUUUUAAGUAGAAGCAACAGUUCAUAGGAUAGGAAGGUGAAUUAGCCGCACAGGCUCGGUUAUAACCAGAAAAACAAAAUGAUCUGUUCAAUUAGACUCGCUCGGACUAAACAAAAUCAUCCGUUUCAACUCUCUUCCAUGAUAUUACCUUCGACAGUCUAGGAGUUUCAGAAGGUUGAAACUUUGUCGGAAGACCUGUAACGCUGUCAGUUGGUUCUCUAGGAAAAGUGUCCAGCAACUCAAUUCGCCAUGGACCAACUAACCACUGCUCCAACAACUCUCAACCCAAAGAGGCAUUGCAUCCGUAUCAACUUUAAUGGCCCUGAAACGUGAGGAGUCUCCACAAGAAAUUGGAUAUGGAUAUAUGGGGAGAUGGAGAAUGGCUUUCAUGAAAACAACCACACCCCAAUAGCCAUCACAGAGUGGAGAAGAAGGGCAAGGUCGCGAGGAGUCUGAUAAUGUAGAACAUUGUUCCUUUCACUCCAAAGAUACCAGCUGAUGAAUGGAAACCGACAAAGCUCUUCCCCUGACAAGACAUGCCGCAGCUGAUUCAAUAAAUCCAUAGCUGCGCCCCAACACCUUUGGGAACUGCAGCAGUAAAAGCUGUCAUUUCCUACUUGUCCAAACCAUAUUGCAUGCGCCAACGCUUCAGAACCCACCCCACAUCUGAAGCAUGAAGCUGAAUUCCCCACCCAGUGCUUGGAAGCAGAAUGCAGGAAAGUAGAAAGGCACGUCAUAAACAAACUAGUCAAAUCUGGUGCAUAUCUCCACAUGAAGUUCCAACAAGACCGUUCGUUCCCUGGAACUUCCCAGUUACAAGAGUAUCAUACGUAUCGUCAUGUGGUACAAGACCUUUGUCAAGCAUCUCAUCAUGCAACCUAAAAGCCUCUUGCAAAUGCCCCUCCUUGAAGUUCCCAGCAACCAAAGUAUUAUAAAUAUGAACACUGGGAGUCAUUCCCCUACUAUUCAUGUCUUCAAAGUUCUUUCGUGCAUUCUCUAGCUGUCCUUUGUUACGAAGGGCAUUUAUCAGAACUGUAUAUGUUCUUUUAUCAGGUACAAUUCCCUUCUGAAGCAUCUCUGAGUAGAGAUCUGUAGCAGAUUGUAACUCUCCCUCUCUUAGAAAUCCAUCAAUUAAUGUAGUGUAUGCUUUCAAAUCACAAGGAAUACCUUCUCUAAUCAUCCUGUUGUGCCAGUCAAGAGCCGCUUCCACGUUAUUUAAACUCCGGAAGCCAGAUAUCAUGCUACUGUAAACAGCUACAUUUGGAGAUAAACCAACUUGAAGGAGUUCGAAGAAAAGUUCACGCGCAGAUCCCAUGUCUCGUCUUUUACAAAACCCAUCAAUUAGAGCACAAUAUGCAGUAGCUCCAGUUCAAUGCCCUUGUUUUCCAUCUCAUUCCACAUUUUCAAAGCCAUAUCAAUUUGAUUGCUUAUGCAAAACCCAUUAAUAAUGCUGGUGUACGUGACAACAUUAGGAGAGACUCCACCUUCACACAUUUCUCUGUAUACAGCCAGUGCAGAAUUAAUGUCACCCUCCUUGGUAUACCCAUUUAUAAUGCUAUUGUAACUAACACAUCCAGGAAUAAAACCCCUCGCAACAAUUUUCUUUAACAUAUCACUUGCCUCGGAUGUACGACCAGCUUUGCACAAGCCAUCGAUGACAAUGCCAACUGUGAAGCCUGUGGGAGAAAUCUUGGCAGCCACCAUAUCAUCAAAGACAUGCUCUACAUCACCGUUCUUGAAGUAGCCGUUUAUCAAGAUAUAUUAAGUCACAUCGUUUGGUUUCAAACCCCUUUUAAGCAUCUCCACAAAUACACUGCGUGCAUGCUCCAUAUUCCCUAUUCUGCAAUAGCCAUUUAUCUUGCUAUUGUAAGAUACUACAUUAGGUACCACACCUUUACACAUCAUUUUAUCCCAUAAACUACAAGCUUCACUUACUUUACCCUUCCCACAAAGCCAUGAUAAGAUAUUAUUAUAUGAGAAAACAUUAGCAACACCACACUCAACAACCUCAUCAAACAAGUUAGACGCAUUUCCAAAUGACCGAUAUUUCAAAAAUCCUCAUAGCAAAUGAUUUACAAUGAAGACAUCAGGAAAAAUAUCCAUGUCUUUCAUUUGCGUGUAAAGCUCAUAAGCCUUUUCCAUGUUCCCAUUCUUACAGCAGUAUUCUAUAAGAAUUGCAUACGUAACCCUGUUUGGAGUAAGUCCAUCCUCUAUAAUCAUAAUGAACAAACCCAAAGCACUCUCCAAAUUCCCUUGCACACAAUAACCCUUCAUCAAGCUUGUAGCAGCAACCAAAUUAACUGGGUACCCACAACUUACCAUACCAUCCUUAAUCCUUAUGGCUUCAACCAUAUUCCUCUGCUUCACACAAGCCGUGAUGACACUGCUAAACGUGACCACGGAAGGAACCCACCCCAUUUCUCUCAUUUCAUCCAACAACUCCAAAGCCAAACACGAAUUGGGUUUCUUACAAAAAGCUUCAAUAGCAACACUAUAGGAUGCUGCGUCAAGUUCUACCUCUCUUGCCCUCGCCUCUCGAAAGUACUCCUCUGCGUCAUCCGGCUUCCCCUGCUUCAAACAACCACGCAUCAUCACGUGUAGAGUGACACGAUCACCUCCAAUUCCUCUCAAAGCCAUUUUAUCAUACACCUCUCGUGCUUCCCCCAUCAUAUUUCUCCUAACCAAUUCUGUUAAAAGAAUAUUUACAUACGUAACACAAGGACACAUCUCAAGCUCCAGAGUUCUACUAAAGCAAUCAAUGGCACAUUCGAUUCGAUUGGCUCUAACAUAAUUGUUCAAUAAAUAGCCAAAAACCUGAGAUUCUAGUUCAAAAUCAAACCGUUUGGCGCAGUCCACCAAGUGAUGGACAAAGACGCCCGAAUUGCCGGAAACGUACUGGUUAAGCAACAUCUUAGCACGCCUGUGAGUCUUCGGAUUGCCCAUCAAAAUGUGAAGCAACACACAAACGGCAUCGACACCUCUGACAAAACCUCGCUCCCUCUCACCCCAUUUGAAGUAAUUUACUGCCGAAUUGGGCUUGCUUUUGUGGCUAAGAAGAGUGCUGAUCACACUGGUUUGUGUUAAUUCCGAGUCUUCAGAAACUGGGGCGGCGAACUCGCCCUGAUUGGGGUCUGAUGCAACUGGGUUUUCCUGAAAUUCGAUUUCUCAUGUGGGUUUCUCGGGAAAAUCAGAUUUUGAUGUGAUUUUCUCGUAAAAAUCUGUGCUUGGAUUGGAAUUCCCGGAAAAUGGCGGCGAUUCUGAAUGGGGUGUUGGAGAGGAAUUUAGGGUUUAAGAAAGGAAGACGACGUAGUACAGGGAGUGGCGAGGAGUGGAGGGACUUCAUUGUUUGGGGUCCUUUGCUGCAGAAGAAGAAAUUGAAGAAACCCUGAUGGAGAUCAAAGGCUUCGGCUUGGUGGCAUAGUGAUGAAGCGAGGAAGGGGAUGACAACAGAGGCUGCGGCGCGAGCUUUGGCCAUUUACGGUUUUACCCCCUUGAGAUAAAAUUCAAAUCCCCAAAUACAUAUUAAGGAUAUUAAUUGUUUGAUAGGCAAAUCAGAAAAUGGCGCUUAACAAAAAAUUACCACAUAAUUAUUUAUUCAUACAUAAGUGAAAUGUUAACUUCGAUUUUCGUAGAUGGUGAGUUUUAUACCAUCUAAUUCUAGUGUGUCACAGCCCGUCCCAGAAUUACUUAAUACCGAGGACGUGAAAUUACAGAAACGCCCUUAAACGGGAUUAAGGUGCGUAAUUUUGACAUUUGUUUUACUUUAAGAUCCUAAACUAGGGUUAGAAUUAUAUAUUUGUAUGUGUUAAUAUUAUAUGGGUUAAGGUAGGGCCUUAUACCCUAAAUCCCUCCCCAAAAUCCGUUUUGUUGUCUCUCUCUCAUCUCCCUAGUCACUCUCUCUCUCUUAUUCUUCAGAAAACACUCUCUCACUCUCUCUCUUACUCUCAUUCUCUCUCAAACUCUCGGACAAACACCCAAGACCUUGAAAACUUCACAAGUUAAGGUUGAGGAAGGUAGCAUCGUGUUCGUAAGGACCAUACGAACACAUUGAUAUUGUUUUCAGGUAAGAUUUCCCACGAUUCCAUGUAGAAAACUUAAGCUCCGAGAUUGCUACUGUUCAUGAACUUAAAUUUGGUUGUGUUUUAGGUUAAACAAAGAUCACCACGAGUCUUAGGAAGUCCCAAGGAGGCUCGGAGUGCCUCGUUUGAACAAAAUGGACGUCGGGAUCGUCGGGUUCGAGUUUGGCCGAAAUUGAGGAAUUUUGGAAGGUAUGAUCUCGUAGUUUUUAGGCCUUAAAACCCUUCCAACGUGAUAGUACAUGUUAAAUGCUUCAUUUUGGUGUAAAAUUCGAAGAAAUUGGACGAAAAACGAAGGAGAAUAGUGGAUUUGAAAAUUUUCCAGAAACCGGCGACCGGCGACUCGCCGGAGAAGACAGGGAAUCUUCCGUCAAGUUUGACGGAAUAUUCCGACGCCGUUAGUUAACUUUAACGGAAACCGUUAGUUUUUAACGGAAUAUUCCGGGAAUAUUCCUAACGCCGUUCACUGUACCGUCAGUGUGCCUGGCACGUGGCUGCGCGUGGGCCGCGCGUAGGUCCGUGCCACGUCAGGCGCGUGGGGGCGCGUGGAGCAUCCAAAAAUUAUUUUAAAAAUAUGGGGAUGAUCCUGAGGUUGUGUAGGUCACUGUGGUAUAUUCAUAUACCCAAUUUGAGCAUCGUAUGAAGAAUUUAUUACCUAGUUGGUUUAGGUGCGUUUAAUGUGCGUUAAAUGAUUGUUUUAAGUUAUUUCACUUCUAGGUGGAACUUUUAACGAGGACGAGCACAUCCAGGGGCGUCAAGGGGGUUACGACCCGGCGACAUACCAGUGAGUGGGCAUUGCUUUCUAUAUAUAUACCUAUAUACUCGAUUUCCCCAGAAAUCAAAUUUAAAUGAAAAAUAUAUUGAAAUGAAAUGAAAUAUGAUGUGAUUGCCAUGCAUAGAAUGUUAUGGAUAUUAUGAACUGUCGUAUGAUGCAUAUAUGUAUGAUGGUGCUGUGGACGCACAGGUAAGUAUUUAAUUACUGUUAUGUUGAGGAUGAUGAUAUAUUGAGCUCAUAUCCUGCACCAUGGUUUAGUGCUUAUAGUAUUCACCGCAUCGCACGCUCGCCUUGGAUCCAAGUAGAUGCUGGUCGUACAGUCCACGCGGAGUGGGUACGACGGGCCAGUCGUAGAAUGUUAGUGAGAUUAUGACUGGUGGGUGACCUUAGGUUAUUGUAUACAGAUGAUUGAUGAGAGAAGCACUUGAGCGAAUAUUACCAUGAGUCGUUCAGACUGCAUUAGGUGGUUCCGACUUAUGUGCAGAAGGCCGGACAGGUCACGCGGAGUGACUCCGGCAGAGAGUGAGAUUGAUAGAUGUUGAGCUCUAGGUUCAAUCGUUCAGGACUAUUAGAGGGCCUCCGAUUGAUUAUUUCUUUUACCUGAUUUAUAUUAUGUCAAUGCAUUCAUACUAAACUGCUGAAUUUGGCAUGGUACAUUCUUUAUUGAAUCUGCUAUAAGAUUGUUGAUCGAGACAGUUGAGAUAUAUAUGCUAUAUACUAUUUUUCUGGGAAAGUAUACAGGUUUUCCAAAAAGGGGUUAUAAAUGUGGAUUUAUGAAAUGUUUUGGAAAAGCUUUAUUUUUCGCCCACUCACGUUUUCUGUUUUUCGCCCCUCCAGGUUCUAGUUGAUAGUUGAGGCGUUGGUGGCCUACGAGGACUGCUUCGGCGUUCUGACAGACUAAAUAAAUGUAGGAUUCACCCGAGGGUGUUGUAAAAUAGUUAUGGUCCUACUUGACUGCACCUAGACGCUUAUGCUCUGUUUAUGUGUGUUUAGUACACUCUUAUGCACAUAGAAUGCUAGGUUGUAAAUAACUGCAAUUAGUGGUUUUCGUUGACUCGUAUUUUAUUAUUAAAUCGUUUCCGCUUGCGUUAUGGUUACGUCACACUCACGUGACGGCCAGCACGUUCUAGUCUUCGGGUUAGGGUGUGUCAGUUUGGUAUCAGAGCAUAGGUUGCAGUCCUGUAUAACUAGUGAUUUUACUUAUUAAUUUUUGGAUGUUUUCUGUCAGAAUUAUGCCGCCUCGUAGAGAUCCUCGCCGUGCUGCUGAGCCUAAUUUCCCCGAUAUAACUCAGCUAGGGGCAUCAAUGGCUCAAGCUUUUCAGGCUAAUAUCCGUCCUCCUCAGAGAACACCUGUAGAGACGAUGUAUAAUCUGAAAUUGGAAACCUUUGAGGGAAAUGAAGGUUAUGAAGGGGCAGAAAAGUGGUUGGAUCGGAUUGAGCAGACCUUUCAAGUGAUGCAAAGUCAAGGAAACCUGCCAGCUAAUAGAUGGGUGGAGACCACCACCUGGUUUUUGGGCCGUGAGCCAGCGGCGUGGUGGAUAAAUCAGUCGAGGCACAUGGCACCUGAAAGGACAGCCGAAUGGGAGGUAUUUAAGGAAAAUUUUAUGAAGAGAUUUGUUCCUCCGGAAUAUAUAGAUCGCAAGAAACAGGAAUUCACCAGUCUGAAGCAGAGAAAUAUGUCCGCACAUGAGUACUACAGGAAGUUUACUGAUUUAUCCCGUUAUGAUUCUGAUUUAGCGGGUAAUCAAGCAGAAAUGCUUCGUCGUUUCAAGUUAGGAUCUAAGAAGAAGUACAGAACGUUUGCCAAUGCACUUCCCUGUGCCGAUUAUCAUGAGUAUUUUGAGAUUCUGGUCCGGAUGGAAGACUCUGAUAAUCUUCCGGACAGUGAGGAUGAAGAGGAUAAGGGUAAUGGUCAGAAGAAAAAUGAGAAAGGUAAAGGUGUUUCCAUUCCAGGACCUCGUCAGAUGCAGAAUUUUAAGAAGAGUGGAAUGAGUUCUAGUUCUUCCAGUGGUGGAUUUAGUGCCACAGGUCCGAGGAGAGGAGGUGGUAGGUUUGGUAAUGGACCUAGAUUUUCUGGUCAGAGAGGCUUUGGUGGUACUGGUAGUUCGGGUUCUCCGUUAUGUCGCCGUUGUAAUUUCCGACAUUAUGGGGAAUGUAGGAGAAUCAGUGGUGCAUGCUUUACAUGUGGUCAGACAGGACAUAGAGCUAUGAAUUGUCCCCAGAAUCAGCAGAGGCCCCAGCAGCCUGUUAGGCCAACACCAGCACCGACUCAACAGAACUUUAAUUCAGGCAGUUAUGGCCAGGUUGGUCGUGGUGGUGCUUAUCAUUAUCAGGGUGAUGCUACUCCAUAUGCUCCAGGACAGUAUCACUAUUCCCAGGAUCCUUAUUCUCAGAGUGGAUAUUCUCAGGAUCAGGGAGGUUAUACUUCAUAUCCGUCUAUGCCAGCUAGCGGAUCUCAGUGGUAUCAGGGGGGUCAGCCCCAACAGAGCGGAGUUGCUGCUAGCAGUGCAGGGUCGUUUAGGCCGCCUGCCCAGACAGGUCAAGGAAGUAUUCAUCAGGGACGAGGUAAUCAGAGUGGCAGAUGUCGUGGAGGACGACAGCCAGCUCAGGGACGUGUUAACCACAUAUCGCUGCAAGAUGCUCAGAACCAUCCAGACUUGAUUAUGGGUACGUUGAAUGUUCUUGGUCAUUUUGCUAGAGUCUUGAUUGAUUGUGGUGCUACACACUCUGUGAUUUCUCAUACAUUUGCUCAAAUGACACAACCUCAUCCUUCACCUCUAGGGUUUGAUUUAGAGUUUGCUAUGCCUAGAGGGGAUAAAUGUUAUGUUGAUAGUUUUUACUCUGGGUGUCCAGUGAUGGUAGAUAAUGUCAUUAUGCCUGCUAAUCUUAUCCCGUUAGACAUCGUGGAUUUUGAUGUGAUUUUAGGGGCGGAUUGGUUGCAUUAUAAUCGCGCCCAUAUAGAUUGUUACGGGAAAUCAGUUACUUUUCUUCGUCCUGGACUACCUGAGGUUACAUUUGUGGGUGAAAGAAAUGGGGUGAGGCAUGGUGUUAUUUCAGCCAUAAGGGCAAAGAAGUUGUUAUCCAAGGGUUGUCAGGGAUACUUGGCACAUGUGGUGUUAAAUGAUGUUGAUUCCGGUAGUGUGGAGGAAGUCGGAGUAGUCAGACACUAUCCUGAUGUAUUUCCAGAUGAUUUACCUGGGUUGCCUCCAGAUAGAGAUGUGGAAUUUUCGAUUGAUUUACUUCCAGGUACGAACCCUAUCUCUUUGACUCCUUAUAGAAUGGCACCAUCGGAAUUAAGAGAGUUGAAAAUUCAAUUGCAAGAGUUAAUUGAUAAAGGUUUCAUUCAGCCUAGUUCUUCACCGUGGGGAGCUCCGGUGUUGUUUGUAAGAAAGAAAGAUGGAACUUUGAGAUUGUGCAUUGAUUACAGGCAAUUGAAUCGGGUGACGAUUAAAAACCGUUAUCCCUUGCCUCGUAUAGAUGAUUUGUUUGAUCAGCUCAAAGGUGCCUGUGUGUUUUCUAAGAUCGAUUUGAGGUCUGGGUAUUAUCAAUUAAAGAUUAAAGAUGAGGAUGUUCAUAAAACAGCUUUCAGGACUCGUUAUGGGCAUUAUGAGUUUUUGGUGAUGCCAUUUGGAUUAACGAACGCUCCUGCAGCUUUCAUGAGAUUGAUGAAUGAAGUAUUCCAGGAAUAUCUUGACAAGUUUGUUAUUGUUUUUAUUGAUGACAUCCUGGUAUAUUCUAAGUCGAAAUCAGACCAUAUUCGACAUCUUAACUUGGUGUUAAGGAAAUUGAGGGAACACCGAUUAUAUGCCAAAUUUAGUAAAUGUGAAUUUUGGCUGGAUCAAGUGGCAUUUUUGGGACAUGUGGUAUCAGCUCAGGGAAUUCAAGUGGAUCCUCAAAAGAUAGCAGCAGUGGAAAAUUGGGAACAACCUCGAACGGUCACUGAGGUGCGGAGUUUUCUUGGUUUGGCAGGUUAUUAUAGACGGUUUGUUCAAGACUUUUCUAUGAUUGCCUUGCCAUUAACGAAGUUAACCAGGAAGGAUGUUAAGUUUGAAUGGGAUGAAAGUUGUGAGCAAAGUUUCCAGCAGUUGAAGUAUUGCCUUACUCAUGCACCUGUGUUAGUACUUCCUGAUGAUGAUGGUAACUUCGAGAUCUAUAGUGAUGCUUCUUUGAAUGGUUUGGGUUGUGUUUUGAUGCAGCAUAGUAGAGUGAUUGCCUAUGCUUCUAGGCAGUUGAAGACUCAUGAAAGAAACUAUCCGACUCACGAUCUUGAGUUAGCAGCUAUUGUGUUUGCUUUGAAGAUCUGGAGACAUUAUCUCUAUGGCGAGAAAUGUAAGAUCUUUACAGAUCAUAAAAGCCUUAAGUACCUUUUCACUUAGCAUGAUCUUAAUCUUCGUCAGAGAAGAUGGUUGGAAUUGUUAAGUGAUUAUGAUUGCACGAUUGAGUACCAUCCGGGUCGUGCAAAUGUGGUAGCUGAUGCUCUGAGUAGAAAACCUCAAGGGCGACUUAAUGCUUUGUAUGCCAGUCGUGUUUCUCUUCUUGCAGAGUUGAGAUCUACUGGAGUAGAGUUAGAAUUGGAAGAGCAAAGUGAAGCUUUUCUUGCCAAUUUUCAAGUCAAGCCAAUUUUAAUUGAUCGGGUGCUUACAGCUCAAUCGUUGGAUGAAGAAAUUCAAGAAUUGAUCAGUUUAAGAAAGGAAAGCUAAGCCCCAGGUACAUUGGACCUUAUGAGAUCACUGAGAGGAUUGGUGAAGUUGCUUACAGGUUGGAGCUACCUCCAGAGUUGUCUAAGGUACAUAAUGUGUUCCAUGUCUCGAUGCUUCGACAUUAUGUUUCAGAUCCUUCACAUGUGAUUCCUCCUCAACCAUUGGAAAUUAAUCCGGACUUGACGUACGAUGAGGAACCAGUGACUAUACUGGAUUGGAAAGAUAAAACUUUGAGGAAUAAGACCGUGAACUUGGUAAAAGUAUUGUGGAGAAACCAUUCAGCGGAAGAAGCUACAUGGGAGACAGAAGAACGGAUGAGAGAUAUGUAUCCGAGGCUAUUUUAUGAGUAUUGAGGGUUUGGUUGGUGACUGGAAUUUCGGGGACGAAAUUCUAUAAGGAGGGGAGAUUGUCACAGCCCGUCCCAGAAUUACUUAAUACCGAGGACGUGAAAUUACAGAAACGCCCUUAAACGGGAUUAAGGUGCGUAAUUUUGACAUUUGUUUUACUUUAAGAUCCUAAACUAGGGUUAGAAUUAUAUAUUUGUAUGUGUUAAUAUUAUAUGGGUUAAGGUAGGGCCUUAUACCCUAAAUCCCUCCCCAAAACCCGUUUUGUUGUCUCUCUCUCAUCUCCCUAGUCACUCUCUCUCUCUUAUUCUUCAGAAAACACUCUCUCACUCUCUCUCUUACUCUCAUUCUCUCUCAAACUCUCGGACAAACACCCAAGACCUUGAAAACUUCACAAGUUAAGGUUGAGGAAGGUAGCAUCGUGUUCGUAAGGACCAUACGAACACAUUGAUAUUGUUUUCAGGUAAGAUUUCCCACGAUUCCAUGUAGAAAACUUAAGCUCCGAGAUUGCUACUGUUCAUGAACUUAAAUUUGGUUGUGUUUUAGGUUAAACAAAGAUCACCACGAGUCUUAGGAAGUCCCAAGGAGGCUCGGAGUGCCUCAUUUGAACAAAAUGGACGUCGGGAUCGUCGGGUUCGAGUUUGGCCGAAAUUGAGGAAUUUUGGAAGGUAUGAUCUCGUAGUUUUUAGGCCUUAAAACCCUUCCAACGUGAUAAUGCUUCAUUUUGGUGUAAAAUUCGAAGAAAUUGGACGAAAAACGAAGGAGAAUAGUGGAUUUGAAAAUUUUCCAGAAACCGGCGACCGGCGACUCGCCGGAGAAGACAGGGAAUCUUCCGUCAAGUUUGACGGAAUAUUCCGACGCCGUUAGUUAACUUUAACGGAAACCGUUAGUUUUUAACGGAAUAUUCCGGGAAUAUUCCUAACGCCGUUCACUGUACCGUCAGUGUGCCUGGCACGUGGCUGCGCGUGGGCCGCGCGUAGGUCCGUGCCACGUCAGGCGCGUGGGGGCGCGUGGAGCAUCCAAAAAUUAUUUUAAAAAUAUGGGGAUGAUCCUGAGGUUGUGUAGGUCACUGUGGUAUAUUCAUAUACCCAAUUUGAGCAUCGUAUGAAGAAUUUAUUACCUAGUUGGUUUAGGUGCGUUUAAUGUGCGUUAAAUGAUUGUUUUAAGUUAUUUCACUUCUAGGUGGAACUUUUAACGAGGACGAGCACAUCCAGGGCGUCAAGGGGGUUACGACCCGGCGACAUACCAGUGAGUGGGCAUUGCUUUCUAUAUAUAUACUUAUAUACUCGAUUUCCCCAGAAAUCAAAUUUAAAUGAAAAAUAUAUUGAAAUGAAAUGAAAUAUGAUGUGAUUGCCAUGCAUAGAAUGUUAUGGAUAUUAUGAACUGUCGUAUGAUGCAUAUAUGUAUGAUGGUGCUGUGGACGCACAGGUAAGUAUUUAAUUACUGUUAUGUUGAGGAUGAUGAUAUAUUGAGCUCAUAUCCUGCACCAUGGUUUAGUGCUUAUAGUAUUCACCGCAUCGCAACGCUCGCCUUGGAUCCAAGUAGAUGCUGGUCGUACAGUCCACGCGGAGUGGGUACGACGGGCCAGUCGUAGAAUGUUUAGUGAGAUUAUGACUGGUGGGUGACCUUAGGUUAUUGUAUACAGAUGAUUGAUGAGAGAAGCACUUGAGCGAAUAUUACCAUGAGUCGUUCAGACUGCAUUAGGUGGUUCCGACUUAUGUGCAGAAGGCCGGACAGGUCACGCGGAGUGACUCCGGCAGAGAGUGAGAUUGAUAGAUGUUGAGCUCUAGGUUCAAUCGUUCAGGACUAUUAGAGGGCCUCCGAUUGAUUAUUUCUUUUACCUGAUUUAUAUUAUGUCAAUGCAUUCAUACUAAACUGCUGAAUUUGGCAUGGUACAUUCUUUAUUGAAUCUGCUAUAAGAUUGUUGAUCGAGACAGUUGAGAUAUAUAUGCUAUAUACUAUUUUUCUGGGAAAGUAUACAGGUUUUCCAAAAAGGGGUUAUAAAUGUGGAUUUAUGAAAUGUUUUGGAAAAGCUUUAUUUUUCGCCCACUCACGUUUUCUGUUUUUCGCCCCUCCAGGUUCUAGUUGAUAGUUGAGGCGUUGGUGGCCUACGAGGACUGCUUCGGCGUUCUGACAGACUAAAUAAAUGUAGGAUUCACCCGAGGGUGUUGUAAAAUAGUUAUGGUCCUACUUGACUGCACCUAGACGCUUAUGCUCUGUUUAUGUGUGUUUAGUACACUCUUAUGCACAUAGAAUGCUAGGUUGUAAAUAACUGCAAUUAGUGGUUUUCGUUGACUCGUAUUUUAUUAUUAAAUCGUUUCCGCUUGCGUUAUGGUUACGUCACACUCACGUGACGGGCAGCACGUCCUAGUCUUCGGGUUAGGGUGUGUCAUAGUGACUAAAAAUUAUAUGACUUAAAAAUACUGGAACACUAUUAUAUUCUAUAGAAAAAGAUAUAAACUUGAUGUGAAAACAUCAGACUAACUUGACAUACUUAUUUUAGUCACAUUUGCACCGCUUCUCAACUCAUAUAUUUUGUUUACUAAAUAAUGUGAGUGUUUGUUCUUAUCCAACGUCUUUAAAUUUAUUUUAGAAGAAAUUUGUAAUUGAAGUGGUUAAGAGUAUUUACUUGUAAACCUAUUUGUUUCUCCCAUUGCAACAAAUAUUGGGAGGAGAAAAUCAAACGCAUAACCUCUAAACUACUUUUAGUACAAUACUCUUUUCAUUAUUUUAAAUUUGCUACUCCUGAGAGUGUAGUUUAGUUUUUCUAAGCAUACCUUCAUAGGCACUGCAGAAGUCAAGAGUCAAGGAACUAGACCUUUGUAAGUUCAAAGGUCUCAUCAAAACCUCAAUCCAUCAUGCCAAAAUGACGAGAUUUUGCCCUAUCAUCAGGAACAUAUCCCCGUACGAGUGUCUCACUCAUCAUGUGACCUUAUAAUAUAUUAACAUGUCUGUAUAUUUCCAGUGAACCUAAAAGAGCGAUAGCAAACCAGAUGUAAGCUAAUACUUUUUUUUGAAGAACUUGAUUAGCAACUGUAUUGGUCAUCAAUACCAUGUUCUAAAUCAAUUAGCAAAGCCUACUCAAUAAAGAAAAUAGAUUGCUAAGAAUUUACAUUUGAAACUAAUAGUGCAGUUUCCUGAAUGGAUGGGAAAUCAAGCCUCAUCACCAUCGCUUCCGCCAAUCUGAGCUUCGAGAGCGAUUGAGUAGUUGCUUCCAUCAGGACCGAGAAUCUGGAAUCUGCUCAAGAACACAGAAAAUCACUCUAAAAGCUUUUAAUUCAGCAACCACAGACGUCGAUUUGGUUUUACCUCUCAAGGAUACACUUUCCUUCCUUGUACUUCUGGGAUUUCUCAUGCGCCGCCUCCUGAAAUCGAUGACCAAAAUAAAACUCUCAUUCAGCUGUCACUUUGAUGCAAGUACUGCAAAUACCGAAAACAAAUAAAGCAUCGUUUUGAAGAAAAGAUAUCCUUACAUAUUUCCAUCCCACAUUUGAUCCACACGAAACACAAAAUAUGUCAGCAACGGUAUGCAAUCCUGUUAUCAUGAUCCGCUCUUCUUUCUCUCCAAGUGUGACAUUUACGCUGCCAUACAUUGGGGAAACGAAGGGUUAACUCAGCAUUCAUAUGUGUAAGCUGCACUUGAUGCAGUUAUGAAUAAGCCUUCUUCAUAGGAUUCAAGUGAACGAAAAUGCGUUUAUGAGACAAAUGCAUUAAUUAGUGAAUUUUGGGAGAACAAUACUCCAAAAUAGAUUUGCUAUGCUGUCACUGAUUUCAUUAAUUCUAUUUCUUUUGCCAUCCUCAAAGUUAAGCUUUUCAAAAUUCAUCAACCGGAAUGAAUCCUCUGGCCUAUAUCAGACCGUGUUCGGUUUGGUGCUUCAAGUCAUUUCAUAUCGGUGGACAAGAAACGAUACAUGCACAUAGGAUGGCCAAGUUUUUUGUGGCAAGUGAGACCAAUAUAAACUCACAUGCUCGUAACCCUAAAACUGAUAUACAAGCAUCCAUAGCUAUGACUGAAUCUAUUCAAAUUUUCAACCGUAAAAUAGUAUUACACUUACACUUUAUCGAAAAGAUAAGCCUUCCCAUGCCUGGAGUGAAAAGACUGGAACAAAAACAGAAGCAAAUCAAGGGGUUAGAAUGUCACUUAUCAAUCCUAAAUUCCUGAUAUCAAACAUACACCAUACUGUAUCGCUUUAGUUUCCAUAUGAUCAGCGUUCAAACCAACAGUAACACAAAUAACCAGGACAACAUUUUGGUCUCGAAUUAUAGUAGAGAACAGAGACGCAAGUUCCUAUCUAAUCUUCCAGCCAAAAUUUAACAAUUACACCAGGAAAGUGUAAAAUAGAUACCUUGGACGUAAUCUUAGCAGGAAUUGAAGACCUAAUUCUUCUCCAGCAAGUAAAGCAACAAUCUGUGUUCCUAGAAUUGCAUAAUUAAACCCGGAAUAUCAUCAUAGAGGGUUGCAGAUAAAGGUUCAAAAUCUUGAGCAUUUUGCGUAUCCGUUCAUCAAACGCGCAAGCCAUGAAGCCAAAGCUGAUUGUGAUGAGCCAUAAACAGAAUUAGGAAACGAAGGCCUGCACCAUGAAUAAAAGAAGGAACCCAGAAACAACCCAAUGUUUGAGCUUCCAAUCUCAACCAGUCUGAACAUGAACCAUCACAUUGUGCUACGGUAUAAAGGUAUCACAACUCCUCAAUAUCACAAACAAAACUCUCUAAACAAAACCUAAACCAACAAUUUACGUAUCACAACUCCUCAAUAUCUAAUGAUUAGACCCCCUAUCUAUCACUUAUUGGAAUUUAGCUUAACAAACCCACACAAACUAAAUUCUUACGUCCACCACCGAUAAAUCUCUCAUCGAAAAUUCGCCACACAUUUACAUAUCACAACGAUGCAUCAUAAUUUCACAGAGUUCUUGAAUGUCCAGGUAGCGUGCAUUAUGCAAAUAAACAGUAAAAAUUCAUAACAAACAGAAUUACGGGGAAGGCGAUUUCGGACCUUAGAGAUUACGUCGUCGACAAGAGCGAGAUGGGUUCUGCAGUGCUUGCAGCUAUACAUGUUUUCCUCAAGAGUGAUCACAAACAGCCUUCCCAUUUCUCACAUACAAUUAAACUUUCUUAAUUCUUGAUUUUCUUUUCCCUACAAAAACACAAAGAUCGGCCGCCAUGUUAGAAAUUCAAGCAUUCCAAAAGAAACCCAGAGAUUACCUUCACCAAAACUUGAGAAAAAUCAACGUGAUAAAACCUGAAAAUUCCAAGAAAAAAAUAACGAAAAAAAAUGAAAUGAUACACAAUGCAGGAGUGCAUUUCCCAUAAUGUAGAUUUUAGAGAAAAGAUUAAUACCAAAAAAAAUCUCUUGUGUUGUGGUACAUUGUAUGUCUUUAUCACGCAAAUCUUAUUUUCACGAGUUUUGCGUAAUGUACUUAUUUUCGUCGCGGAAGCUGUUAAAUGCAGUAGUGGUAGUCUUUGAUUCCUCAUUAGGGUAAGCAAAAUGAAUGGAAAAGUUAGUAUCCUUCUUUGAAUUUGAUAUGCUACAUCUAGCGACCGUUAAUUAAUAAUCUUUGCAUCACUAUCGAAUUUGAUAUGCUACAUCUAGAGACUGUUAAUUAAUAAUCUUUGCAUCACUAUCGAAUGAUGUUCUUAAUUCCCAACAUAACAACUUAAACGUUAAAUUAUUUAAGAAGAUUUUUUUUUUAAUUUCUCUAAGGCCUAAACAGAUAAAUGUUUUUUGUGGUGAUAUAGUAUUCCGAAGUUAGGCCUGUUGAGAAAAAAAUUAGGAAUCAAACCCUCAUGGUGAAGUCUGUUAGGAUUCAUGCCCCAACAGACUUUACUACAAGAGUUUAAUUCCUAAAUUUUUCAAACCGGAGGCUAUCUUCCGAAUACCUUAUCAAUUAUCAUCACAGAGACCGUUUAUUCCGUUAAGCCGUUCUUUAAUUGUAUGAACCAACAACUCCCCAAAUUACAAGAAAUUGUAUUUUAAUAUUAUUUUUAUACGCGUGAUAUUUGACUCCGAACUGUAAAAAGAGGAGGGAAGAGAGAUUCAAACUCAACUAUUUUUUUUUUUUUAAAACAAACAAUAUUAGUUACACUAAAAAAAAGUAUGAACUUAAUCUCACAAUGAGUUAAGAAUAAUAUGGUUCAAAUUCGUCUUUGACAUGAUUCAAACUCAACUAUUAAAAGUGCAAUCUGCUCGAUAAUGUGACUACAUCCACAUGCAUUUCGUUAUAAUAUUUUACAAAUAAAUAAGUUUUGCACAGUUUAAAAAGCUUUCAGAAGAAAAAAAAAAAUCCCUCUACUAUUGUGGGAAAAAGAAAGAAAAGGAAGAAUCUCGCGGCCUAUUGUUCGGUUAAAAAAACUUGUCGCUAAUAGGAAAACGCCACGGUAGAAAGUAAGGACGCAUUAUUUGUGGUGGGGGGGGGGGGCGCCGUGCCACGAAACCGAAUGAGAUUCAGAUUUGGUUGGAGGACGGAAAGAAAGUAAUUCACCAAUCCCUUUCACGAGAAGGUGCCAAAGGACACACGAAAGAAACGUUUCACUCAUAGUGACUAGACCAAAGCAAAAAAGUCAAUCCAAUCCAACUAGGUUAUGUGUUCGACUGUAGUAUUACCUGACUAUUCACGUUGUGAUAAGAAAGACGAUCCAUGAUUGUUUUUAGAACCCAAUUGUCCCACAUCAUUUAGUAUAUCUUAAAGGCGUUUCAGAGCUUUUGCGUACCUUUCCCUUCCAAGCCGAUUUUUAGGGGCAAUUUCUACUCUUAAAACAUUGUAUUAGAGCUUGGUUUCACCACGCAAUCGAGCGCAACUCCAUAGAAGGAAAUGAUAAAUUUUUUCAGUGUGUCUGGAACAUGUGGUGAAACACCACAUGUCAUUACAUAAGUGAAGGAAGGUUUUAUUUUUCAAGAAUCCCACUACUUUUAUAAUAACAUGUGGUGUAUCAUCCCGUAUUACGAGUACGUGAAAAAUUUGUAGAUGGGACCGCCUCAAAGGAAGGAAAGGGCUCCUCUAGGUCAGUGUAGAAAGCAAAACUUCACCAAACCUCUAAGGACGCGUUUACUAAUCCGUAAUCAAAUUGAGAGGAAUUGAAUUGAGGAGGAAUAGAAAUGAGGGAAAAUCAGAAUCAAAUUCCUUUUGAAGUUGUUUACUAAAACUGUUUGGAAUCGGAGUAGAAAUAACAUUGAUCUAUAUAACUGUUUACUAAUUCACAUGAAUCGGAAUGAAAACUAUUGUGAUUACUAAAAUACCCCUAGUUUAAUUAAUAAAUGAAAAAUAAAUGAAGUUUUUAUUGAAUAAAAAAUUGGAUGCGAUCCCCUAUAGAUGGUUUCACAAAACACAUAUUCUUAUUAACUUGAUGACCAGCGGACAAGGUUUAGCACAAGACAUUAACUAGGUAGAGAACCAAACAAGAGCUAAGACAAAGAACAUUGAUGAGCUGAUGGCUAAACCUCGAGGAGGGCCGGAAGUUGAAACGGGCACCAUUUGAUCUUCCUUGAUUAAUAACACUCCAAUGAAAGCGUGCCUCCGUGACGUGUGGUCAAAAUAUAAAGGGUCCAGAAGGAAAAGUAUACGUUCUCCCGUUCAAAAGAGGGGAUGCACGAGUAAUGUCCAACUAUGAAGAUGAAAUCGUGCCGUGCGGUGUUAUUCUCUCAACAGCACCCAUUCUCUGAGGAGGCCACAAAAUGUGGGUAACCCUUCCUUCAACUAAACCAAGAGGAAUCUGCCAACAACAGCUUGUUUAAGUUAGCCAAAGAAACAGAAGUUUAGAAGGAAGCCAAAAGUAGCCACAUUUUCAAAUUAUUUUGCACAACAUCAAUUCUGAUGAGGACAACUGAACUGAAAGCAACAUCUGAAACAAUGUCUUAGAAUACAUCAAGCAUUAUAUUCUAUCAAAGUUUUGCAAUGACAACAAAAUCAUCUAGCAGAAAUUUAGAAGGAUGCCAAAAGUAGCCACAUUUUCAAAUUAUUUUGCACAAUAUCAAUUCUGAUGCAGACAACUGAACCGAACAAAGCAUGUUCAUAAGCAAUGUCCGAAACAAAGUCUUAGAUUACGUCAAGCAUUAGAUUCUAUCAAUGUUUUCCAACGACAACAAAAUUACCUAGCAUAACAAUGAUUGCAAACUUUUUCCAAAAUGCCAAACUAAUUAUCUAUAUAGCAUUUCAAAUUUAUCGUGUCCUAGAAAAACAUUUUGUCUCAUUUACGAGCCACAAGCUAACGGAAUAGAAAAACGAUUUCCAUCCUACUCCGCAUUCAACUUUUCAGAAUAUAAACAAACAAUAAGUGAUUUGCCAUAAAAAAUACAAAAGUAAAUUCAAAUACCUAGUCAGCUUAUUGUUUCGUAUCUUUGGGCACCAAAUCAAUAUAAUUAAGGCCACGAUGAUAAAUUAUACUAUCGUUAAACUAUUUAUUUCUCUGGUGUACAAACUUAGCAGUAAGGUAGACUUACUGGUCCAAACGAUCUUGAAUCCAGGCUAGAAGAUGAAUUGUCUCCCUCAACCCAACAAUGUCCUUCUGUAAUUUUCACCACACAUAGGAAUGACGCGUUCCAAUCCACUCACCAGGUAAGGCAGUUAUUCUCUUUAUGUGACUCUCCUUGUGGUUACUUGGGGAGCUGCAGAAUGUUCCAUCAGGUUUCUUAUUAUAAUUCACUAGGCACAAAUAGUACUCGAGUGUUGUUAAGGGAAAAAAUUACCGGAAAACUACCACGUCACCAUGCGAGAACUUGUAGUUUUGAAGACAUUGUUUCUCGACCAAAACAUUGUCAUCUGCAACCGAAUCACAAUCAGACCACUAAACAAACCAUCACAUUGCACAACACAAAAAUCUUAGUGAGACGUCAUUCAAUAUACCAACUAGUUGGCAAGCCCAUCAAAGAAGUCGCUCCAUGGUUUAACGUAGGCGACAUAGAGGAACCCCGCACCAGAGCAACACUCGCAAAUCGAUCCGAAACAUAUACACCUAUAAUCCCAGAUGUGAAAAACUUGUUGGCAAAAUUCCACAAACCACUCCGAGUUCCCAUGUCCUGUUUUUUUUCCCUAAAUACUCACAUUUCAUGUGCAAAAUGCAGCCAUCUGUAACAAUUAUCAUCAAUUUUACCGAAAAUAAAAUCAAAUCAAAUGCGCAAUUUCGAUAAAGUAAGAAGAUUUAUAUAAGCAAAAACAGUAACCAAUCUCUCAGAGGCAAACAAUCAAACACCUGGUGAGCUUAAUGGACAAGAGGGAAAGAGAGUAGGUUACCAUUUGGGAAUAUUUCGGAUUAGCUGUCGAAGAAGCUUCCUUCACCGACGGGAGUCUUCGUUAAUGGAGGUAAGGCGGGAGGAGGUAGGUCGUGUACCGCCGUCGCGGAGUCGUGAUUUGGAGGAGAAGCAAAGUCUGGAUUAUAUUUCGGCUUUGGAGCUAUAUCUCAGAUGCUUUUUGCUCAAGGAAUUUGAAUUGGGUGACAAGCAUUAAUAAAAAAAUAAAUAAAUAAAUAAAUGUAUAAAUAGGAUCACCUAUAUAAAUUUUACUAAUUUGGACCCCUACAAGUUGCUUAAAGAGUAAUCAAAGCCCACCACUCCCAUCAGAGUUGAAAAUCUAACGAAAAUGACAUUUUUAUUCUAAAUGUCAAUUUUGAUACUAUUUACUUACAACAUUCUUUUGCCUUUUUUUUAAUUAAAAUUCAAAGUUUUCAAACCAUUUUCAUUUUUUUUUUCUUUUGAUUUAUUUAUUUUUAUUACAAAAGGACAAGUUAAAUUAUUCUAAUUCAUAUGGAGUGAGAUUAUUAUUUGAUAUAUUCUCGAACUUGAGUGAAAAGGGUAGACACGCUAUUAUAACUAAUUGGUUUAACCUGAAUAUGCUGUGUAUGUUUUUUCUUUGAUUAAAUCCGUAAUUUUUCACUUAGAUAAGUGUAAUUUGAUUUUAUUUACCCAUAAAAAAAAAUAAAUAAAUCUUAUAAUCGAUCAAUUUGUUAAAUGAAAAUUUUCUUAACUAUGGGCCAUACAAUUAUGUUUUAUUUUCAAUCAAGUCCUAAAGUGUGGUUUCAUUUGCGAUAAGUUAUAUGCCUUAAUAUUCACUUAAUAUUAAAUUUUAGUGACAUUAUUUUUCCUUGCAAGUAAUAAGUUAAGUUUAAACGCUCUUGAAUAACGAGUUCAAUACCUAUUUAUUUAUUUAUUUAUACUAUCGUAACAAAAACUCGUUACACUAUUCUCUCUCACUACUUAAGUUACCCAAAUUUUUAACUUGAGAUAAAUUGUUGGGAAAUUUUAUUUGAACCCAUCUAACUUCUUUGUACACCCAACUUACUCUCUUCACCCAUAUUGUUUUUUAUUAAAGAAUUAAUAUCUCUUUAAACUGUAGGUAUUUAUUCUUGUAUCUCCAUGCUACUUGAAUGCAUCUUUCUGCAAGGCCUCUCCAGUAAGGUGACUCAUACCUGCCAUAAAAACCAAACUUCAACAUCAAUGUUCUGUCAUAAACCAUUCCCACAUGCAUCCUAGACGAUUUCUUGCAGACCACGUAUGCAUAUGUCACCAGUCUUCAAUCGUGUAUGCAUACAUGAGAUAUGAAUAGCUUGAAUAAAAUAAACCUUAUGGCUCCUGGAACACGUGGUUUGCGCAAGAAUCUGGAGAAAACAUUGGUGACUUCUUCAAUGUCAGCUGCAGCAAUCAAUAGAAGAGACCUACAUAGGUGGACUACUUUCCAUAGAGCUUGUUUCAAAGGGAAGAUAAAAGUCAUUCGAACGCUGCUUGAAAAGGGUUUGGAUAUGGAUGCUAAAGAUGAGGAUGGACACACCGCGUUGCACUGUGCAGCGGAGUCGGGUCAUGCGGAUGUGAUUGAGAUGUUUAUAAAGAAAAGAGUUGAUGCUGAAGCUCGAACUAACAAAGGUGUGACUGCACUGCAUAUUGCUGAGUCUUUGCACUACGUUGGGAUUACUAGGAUACUUAUUCAUAGAGAUGCAACAAAAAAACAAUAGUAAUAUGGCACAUAUGUUGACCCAGGCCUCAGUUUCAUUUGGGAAAAAAUCUAUGGGACUAGAGGAGGAGAUCAUCAAAGGAGGAAUGAAGAAGGAGAAAUCGAGUCAAGCUAGAGCUCUUCGUGUGAGCUUUGAUGGUUCGAUGCCAUUGGUUGUUGUUUAGCUAGUAAAGUUAGAACUAAUAUUGGUGCAUUGGUAUUUUGAUAAACGUAGUAUAAAUUAGAGGAUUCAAAACUUCAAAAUCAUUAUCCAUCAAUAAAAAAACUUGUUUUUCUCUAUGAGAGCUAUUAGGGUUUUAGCCGUAAUGAGCGUAUGAUAAAUAAAGAGUGAUCCUAGGGUUUAAUUAUAGUGUUUGGGUUUAUUGAUAAAUUUGAGUUUUAUUAUUAAUUUUAUUUUGUACUUAAUAGUAAUUAUGCAAUAGGGUAAAAUAGGCAAUUAACAUUUAAAAUUUAGGGGGGGUGUAUUCAAUUGGGAAUUUGAGAGAUUUUAAUGGAUUUAUAAAUCCAUGAAUUUUUAUGGAGUCUAAUUGAUUUGUAGAGAUUCCAUAUAAAAUUUUAAUUCAAUUCCCUCCAAAUCUCUUGGGGAGAGAUAAGAUUUGUGGAUGAUUAAAAUACACUACAAAAUCUCUCUAAUUCCCUCUAAUUCCCCAACUUUGUCAAAUUCUUUAAAAUCAAAUUCUAAUUGGAUACACCUAGAAUGUUAUAAACUUCUUUAAAAUCUUAAUGGAAUACACCCGGAUUUCUAAGGAUUUUAAUAAACUAUCUUAAAAUCCUAAUUGAAUACGCGUUGAAUUUCAGAUAAUCACUUAAAAUCCUGAUUGAAUACCCCUAGAUUCAUUAAAAGAAUUAAAAUCCCUCAAAAUCCCAAUUGAAUACACCUCCUAAGAUGAGUGUAAAAAAAUAUUACAUAAGUUUAAAUAAAAUUUCCCUUUGACGUCCAAAGCAAGUAUCAUAAAAUAUCAACCAUGUAGUCAUUUAUCAGGUAGGAAAAGCUCACAUGGCAUUGCGUACACUAAUCCUUUGAUCACAUCACAAUCUUUACAAACUUAAGCAUCACAAAUCAUGAUCAGCUAAGUAAUUAACGUUACAUAAUUAACCAUUGUCCACUAAUUAAAAAAACCAAACAUGAUAUGCACGUAGAGAAUGGGCGGUCUAAGAAGAGAAGGCGUCGAUGAUGGUAGUGUGGAGCGGGUCACUCAAAUGGGUAGCCCAGUUGUUAAGCGGGCCCUUUCCGGUCACGGCGGCCUGCACGGCGAACCCGAGGAACCCAACCAUGGCGAGGCGGGCGUGCUUGAUUUCAGCCAGUUGAAG